This 497-nucleotide ribosomal RNA is filed under the name uncultured bacterium. RNAcentral describes it as "partial 16S ribosomal RNA". It matches the Rfam family "Bacterial small subunit ribosomal RNA", at positions 28 to 507 of the family's 1533-position model. The record is from RNAcentral.
GACGAACGCUGGCGGCGUGCCUAAUACAUGCGAGUUGAGCGCUGAAGGUUGGUACUUGUACCAACUGGAUGAGCAGCGAACGGGUGAGUAACGCGUGGGGAAUCUGCCUUUGAGCGGGGGACAACAUUUGGAAACGAAUGCUAAUACCGCAUAAAAACUUUAAACACAAGUUUUAAGUUUGAAAGAUGCAAUUGCAUCACUCAAAGAUGGUCCCGCGUUGUAUUAGCUAGUUGGUGAGGUAAAGGCUCACCAAGGCGAUGAUACAUAGCCGACCUGAGAGGGUGAUCGGCCACAUUGGGACUGAGACACGGCCCAAACUCCUACGGGAGGCAGCAGUAGGGAAUCUUCGGCAAUGGACGAAAGUCUGACCGAGCAACGCCGCGUGAGUGAAGAAGGUUUUCGGAUCGUAAAACUCUGUUGGUAGAGAAGAACGUUGGUGAGAGUGGAAAGCUCAUCAAGUGACGGUAACUACCCAGAAAGGGACGGCUAACUACGUG